Molecule: non-coding RNA, 902 nt
Organism: Elaeis guineensis (African oil palm)
Lineage: Eukaryota; Viridiplantae; Streptophyta; Magnoliopsida; Arecales; Arecaceae
Source: RefSeq, a predicted model, not a curated record
CUAUCGAUGGACUUCGAAAUAAAAUAAGAUAUGAUCACGGACCUUUACAUAAUUUUUCCUAAAUUUGCUAUCAGGGAAGGCGGGUUAGCGCCUUGGCGGUACCCGCCGUUCGCUGCUUGUAAGGCUAGAAAGCCCGGCCAUGGCGGAUUAGGGUUAGAGUUGGGUUUUCUCCUGUAGCGAGUGAUCGAUCCCAUUCUCAGGUCGUAAGAGAAGAGGGGAGAUACCAAGGAGCAGCAAUUGCUUGCCCAACGUCGAUGUUGUCCAUCGAGAUGCAAAAGCCCCCCUCGAUCGGACGGUGAUUAAAAAAUGGGUUCCGUAUUCUUCUCUGAUCUCUCUCUAUUCCCUUAGUGUGUAAUUAAAAUGGAGAAAUCUAUUCAACCAAUUACGAUAUUCUGAUUUUUUCUUCUUAGGUAGCUGCUUGGAGGAUUGCCGUGGAAGAGAAAAGUUAUCACUCAAGAGAGCAACUUUCCUAGGUAGAUUUUUGUUUGUUUGAUUGAUCAGUUUGGUACCAAAAUGUGAUAGUGGCGGUUGAAUGGAUACAAAAGGAACAUGGUGAAGAAAUGGGAAAGGAGAUGAGAACUGUUCAUUUAGCUCGUGAUUGAUCCGUCAAGCAGGGAGAUAGAGACAGAGGCAAAUGCAUUUGACCGAGUUGAGACAGCUGUGGAAGCUGCAAUCCUAGAGGAGAGAAUGAAGUAGGUAGGGCCCGUGGGGCUAGAAAACUAGUUUCUCUAUUUAUCUCUCUCCUUCGUUCUCAUCGAUGGCCUUCCCCUACUCUUGCUACCAGGCCUGGUGGUGACAGGGAUACUAUUGUAUGUGCUACUACCACUACCGACUAAGGAGAUCAUCAUUGUUUAAACAUUAAAUUUUUUAUAUGUGAAACAAUCUGUAAACUUCUCAUUUAU